UACGUAGGGUGCAAGCGUUAAUCGGAAUUACUGGGCGUAAAGCGUGCGCAGGCGGUUUUGUAAGUCUGACGUGAAAGCCCCGGGCUCAACCUGGGAAUUGCGUUGGAGACUGCAAGGCUAGAAUCUGGCAGAGGGGGGUAGAAUUCCACGUGUAGCAGUGAAAUGCGUAGAGAUGUGGAGGAACACCGAUGGCGAAGGCAGCCCCCUGGGUCAAGAUUGACGCUCAUGCACGAAAGCGUGGGGAGCAAACAGG
Molecule: ribosomal RNA, 253 nt
Filed under: uncultured bacterium
Lineage: Bacteria
Description: partial 16S ribosomal RNA
Rfam family: Bacterial small subunit ribosomal RNA
Source: RNAcentral